GCAUGAAGCCGGAAUCGCUAGUAAUCGCGGAUCAGAAUGCCGCGGUGAAUACGUUCCCGGGUCUUGUACACACCGCCCGUCACACCAUGGGAGUCGGGAAUGCCCGAAGUCAGUGGCCCAACCGGAAGGGGGAGCUGCCGAAGGCAGGCCCGGUGACUGGGGUGAAGUCGUAACAAGGUAGC
This 182-nucleotide ribosomal RNA is filed under the name uncultured bacterium. RNAcentral describes it as "partial 16S ribosomal RNA". It matches the Rfam family "Bacterial small subunit ribosomal RNA", at positions 1318 to 1500 of the family's 1533-position model. The record is from RNAcentral.